Pygoscelis adeliae (Adelie penguin) is the source of this 2852-nucleotide long non-coding RNA. RefSeq lists it as uncharacterized. The transcript is spliced from 2 exons. NCBI's taxonomy places the organism in Eukaryota, Metazoa, Chordata, Aves, Sphenisciformes, Spheniscidae. The record is from RefSeq and is a predicted model, not a curated record.
AAACUGGUUUAGCCUCCUUAGCAGGAGUUUGCAGGGGAGAAAUAGGAAUAGGGAUUGAUAGAUAUUAAACUAGUUUGAAAUUCAGGCUGGUGGUUAAGUGCCAGAUUUAUGUACGUUGGAAGGGGGUGAUUCUGGUGGUUUUGAACAGCAGAAUCAAGCUCUUCACCUGGAAUUGCAGUGUAUAAUACUCUGUUUUGGGUUUUUCCUUCAGGGACCUAACACAAUCGUGAUCUGCAUGGUCAUCUUAUUGAACAUUGGUCUGGCCAUCCUAUUUGUACAUUUUUUGACAUGAUGUGCCCCUCGGACAAGGCGUUGCUGCUGAUGGAGACCACAGACCUCGGCAGGGAUUAAAUCUCAGCCGCCUGGAAACACCUAAGAGGAGGACUUGAGAUCCUAAGGUUGCACUGCAAACAUGAACCUUAAACAAAAGUGCCUGAAGAUCAGUUCAGUCUCCCUGCUCCCAGGCUGUGGCUGGCCUCUGCAAUCUACCAAGGAAAAGCCAGGGUUUCUGCAAUUCAACCUCCUUCUCUUCUUUGUAUAAAAUAGCAGUUGCCUUAAAUUGUUCUCACCAAAGCCAUCAAUUGUCCUGUCAUGCCAGGGAUGAGGGAUUUAUCUGUAGCUGUAGGAAAACGAGUAAGAAAGUCUCAUCUGUUCACACUGAUGUGUUUUGUAACUCCCUUGGUUGACUCAGUGUCAGAGAUUUCCCGAAGAAUGUCAUCCAUGGCAUGGAGAUGAAGCAAUACACAGCAACCAAAAUGACUCAUGAGAGCCGCGCCAUGGCUAGGGGUGGACAACAUCGCCCUCCAUCCUCAGAAAUCAUCCAAAGGGACGAACAAAAAGUCUUUCCUUUCCCCAUUGCCUGGAGUCGUUUUCCGCGUAUGGAGGACUGAGAGGGGGAGCAAGUUGAAAUCGGGCUUGUUGAAGUGUAACCAGAGUCCUGCCCAUGCCUGCUGACGUGCCACGGAUGGGGGCCGUGGGCUGCGGGGUGGGGAGUGAGGGACUGGCUGAUCCGAGGCUGUUCGUGCAUGCGGGGGGUGCUACGGGUGGAGAUGGUCCCGUCUCAGGACCAGGCACCAUCCGAGCGCUCUCCUGCCACCAGCAAUGCUCCAUGCAGAAGUGUCUUGCAGCGGAUGACUUCCCGCUGUAACAGGAAAGGAAAUAGAUGUGCUGAAUUUGUCCCUUUACUCAUUUUUUCUAUGAAAAUGGUGCGAGUUACAAUGAGAAUGAGGUACUUACUGAAAAAUACCUCCAUGCGCCCACAGGUUCCUCCCCUUCGUGCGCUGGGCUGCAGGGGGACUCCUGUGCUCUUUCAUUGCAACAGAGUGAACAGACUUUCCAGCCAGAGGAUGCAGGGUGGCUGUCAUGGGAGAGGUUAUGUUAUUCCCGAAAGGAAAAAGGUGCAGAGACCUGAGUGGCUCCAGUUCUUUGGGUGUUAGGCUCAAAAAUACACAGCAGCCAGACUUUCAGCAGUGGUAGAGUACAGAAGGGCAAUUCUAGCUGUUUUUCUUUUGUGCGAGGCUUAGAGGCCUGGGCGAUUUGCACCGAAUAUUCCCAAAGCUGCAAGAGAGAGUGACCUUUGGAAGGAGAUGUUUCCACCGUGAUCUGCUCUGAUCCUCAGCAGUGCGAGCUUAGAAAGUCAGCACAGAUGAAGUUACAGUUUAGUGUGAGGCUGAGUGCUUGGACAUGUUUCUUCCUUCUUCUAAAAGCAAUAUGUAUUUUCUGUCCCUUUUUAAGAUAAUCGGAAAUGUUAUUUAUAGUCGGUUGUGCACCUCUGUGUAUCCUGAAGUCCCACAGCACAGGACUGGGUGGGAAAACCUGAGGGACUGCAAAGAAUGGGGAAAUGAUGGUUAAGGAAAAAAAACAGAUGCCCAGUCUGCUCCAAAGGUCAAUCUGGAAGGAUUUCAGAGAUGGGGUGGCAGACAGGCAGGGGUCUACACUGACUGGAGACACAGGGCAAAACCUGCCUAAUUUAUCUGCUCUAAUUAUGGCACAAGAGAGUGAGAAUAAUUCAGUACUUUUCUUUGUGAACCAAGUUUAUUUUUUAACCUUAUUCAGCUCAGGAACGUUGCCACAGUAGCAAAUACGUGGUGUUAACUGUGGGAGAAGUGAAUGUGAUCCCUUCCUAAAAGCCAUGUGGCUGUACCAGUCCUGAGAAAGCUGUGCAGCAUCAUCUACACUUCCACAGAGCAUAGUUUAGUAGCAAUUUGCUUCUUUCUUUCUUUCUUUUCUUAAGUAUAAAUGUAUUGCAAACCCCAGGCUCUGCUGCCUUCGACGUUUUAUCUCCGUUUGCUGGCAUUCACUUGCCAGCUCUGCAGUUUCAAUAUGCCAGCUGCUUUUUUUAACCACCAAGACGAUUUCCGUUGAGAGACCUGAGGGGCUUUUAUUUAUCACUAAGCACAAAAAUGGAUCUUUUUCAACAGUGCUAAGGUAAUCCCCCCCCGCCCCCAUUUUUUAUGCAUGUGAUGCGCACUCGGUAAUGUGCUUUCCUCCUAGUAACAGUAACCUUCUGAGAAAAGUAGGUAGAUUUGCUUUUAUGUGACGUAUAAAUAUAUCCAUAUUGCACUGAGAUAUGGAUAUAUAUACACAUAUAUAUAGCCCCUUAGGGAUUUCGUUUUCUUAGAUGCAAAAUAACAGAUUUACCUCAAACUGCAUGCUUUCAAAACUGACUAGGAUAUUGUGUUAUACUUUUCAGGUCUUACAAAGAUGCAGAUACAUUUCACUCUUCACACAAAAAUGCCUUCAUCACAGAUUUUACAAGCUGUUUACUACAAUCUGUGUACUACUGUCCGGAGUUUUCUGUCGGUUGUUCUGCUGGAUUACGUGCAAUAAUAAACAGUUAUCUGCUCACUGUA